This 1029-nucleotide long non-coding RNA is filed under the name Ananas comosus (pineapple). RNAcentral's name for it is "long non-coding RNA (ACOM_LNC036461)". The record is from RNAcentral. Lineage: Eukaryota; Viridiplantae; Streptophyta; Magnoliopsida; Poales; Bromeliaceae.
GAUAGGUAGCACGCCAUCCGCUUCGUUUAUUUCAUUUAGAAAUAAAUUUAGCUGGAAAUGUGAAUCAACUAGGAUUCGAACUUGGGUCUCGGGUACCAACCACCAAACCCUUUGCCACUUGCUCUAGGGACGGUCGGUGUUUGGCCAAGAUUUUUAAAAAUAAGGAAAAACUUCAAAUACCAUCCCUAGCAUUUUUUUUUAUUUUAUUACCCUGUGAUUUAAAGUGUAUCAAUUUGGUAUUCAGUGAUUUAAUUUUUUUCUCUUUUUAUUAUUAAUUCUACUAAUUUUUUCAUUAAAUCAGUGACAAUGUUAAAACUAAAGGAUACUAAAAUAAAUAUUCGAUAAAUCUAAAUGGGGUAUUUGAAGUUUUUUUGUAUAUAAUUUAACAAAAUAUUAACGAAUAAGCCGAUGAAAAAAUAAAAAUGAAAUCACAUGGUACUAACUUGAUACACUUUAAACCACAUGAUACUAAAGUUAGAAAGUGCGAAAUCAUAGGAGUGGUACUUGAAGUUUACCCAAAAAAUAAAUUUAGAAUCAAAAGUGAUUUGUCACUCGUUUAGAGCUUUUAAUACUUUUUUUAAGGGUUAAUUAUCUAUCGCUAACCCUAACCCUAACCCUAACCCUAACCCUAACUUUGCUUUUGUUUUCUCCUAAGAGGUGUUUGGCCAAGAUUUUUAAAAAUAAGGAAAAACUUCAAAUACCAUCCCUAGCAUUUUUUUAUUUUAUUAUUCUGUGAUUUAAAGUAUAUCAAUUUGAUGCUCAGUGGUUUAAUUUUUUUCUUUUUUUAUUAUUAACUUUAUUAAUUUUUUUUGUUAAAUCAGUGACAAUGUUAAAAUUAAAGAAUACUAAAGUGAAUAUUCGAUAAAUCUAAAUGGGGUAUUUGAAGUUUUUUUUGUAUAUAAUUUAAUAAAAUAUUAAUGAAUAAGCCAAUGAAAAGAUAAAAAUGAAAGCACAGGAUACUAACUUAAUAUACUUUAAACCAUAUGAUACUAAAGUGAGAAAGUGCGAAACCACGGGACGGUACUUGAA